CUCCUAUUCCCUCCGUUCGGAAUUACUUGUCUCGAAAAUGGAUGUCUCUAUAACUAAAAUACGUCUAGAUACAUCCAUUUCUGCAACAAGUAAUUCCGAACGGAGGGAGUACUUG
This is a non-coding RNA of Triticum aestivum (bread wheat), 115 nucleotides long. NCBI's taxonomy places the organism in Eukaryota, Viridiplantae, Streptophyta, Magnoliopsida, Poales, Poaceae. The record is from Rfam.